UGGGGAAUAUUGCACAAUGGGCGCAAGCCUGAUGCAGCCAUGCCGCGUGUGUGAAGAAGGCCUUCGGGUUGUAAAGCACUUUCAGCGGGGAGGAAGGGAGUAAAGUUAAUACCUUUGCUCAUUGACGUUACCCGCAGAAGAAGCACCGGCUAACUCCGUGCCAGCAGCCGCGGUAAUACGGAGGGUGCAAGCGUUAAUCGGAAUUACUGGGCGUAAAGCGCACGCAGGCGGUUUGUUAAGUCAGAUGUGAAAUCCCCGGGCUCAACCUGGGAAUUGCAUCUGAUACUGGUCAGCUAGAGUCUUGUAGAGGGGGGUAGAAUUCCAUGUGUAGCGGUGAAAUGCGUAGAGAUGUGGAGGAAUACCGGUGGCGAAGGCGGCCCCCUGGACAAAGACUGACGCUCAGGUGCGAAAGCGUGGGGAGCAAACAGG
This 429-nucleotide ribosomal RNA is filed under the name Chloroflexota bacterium. Its description in RNAcentral is "Chloroflexi bacterium partial 16S ribosomal RNA". It matches the Rfam family "Bacterial small subunit ribosomal RNA", at positions 355 to 776 of the family's 1533-position model. Lineage: Bacteria; Bacillati; Chloroflexota. The record is from RNAcentral.